This 433-nucleotide ribosomal RNA is filed under the name uncultured bacterium. RNAcentral's name for it is "partial 16S ribosomal RNA". It matches the Rfam family "Bacterial small subunit ribosomal RNA", at positions 341 to 792 of the family's 1533-position model. The record is from RNAcentral.
ACGGAAGGCAGCAGUGGGGAAUAUUGCACAGUGGGGGAAACCCUGAUGCAGCAACGCCGCGUGAAGGAUGAAGGCCCUUGGGUCGUAAACUUCUGUUCUAAGGGAAGAUAAUGACGGUACCUUAGGAGCAAGUCCCGGCUAACUACGUGCCAGCAGCCGCGGUAAUACGUAGGGGGCGAGCGUUAUCCGGAAUUAUUGGGCGUAAAGGGUGCGUAGGUGGUUUCCUAAGCAUGGGGUUUAAGGCAAUGGCUUAACCAUUGUUCGCCGUAUGAACUGGGUAACUUGAGUGCUGGAGAGGAAAGCGGAAUUCCUAGUGUAGCGGUGAAAUGCGUAGAUAUUAGGAGGAACACCAGUGGUGAAGGCGGCUUUCUGGACAGUAACUGACACUGAGGCACGAAAGUGUGGGGAGCAAACAGGAUUAGAUACCCUGGUA